RNAcentral lists this unclassified non-coding RNA (791 nucleotides) under Hevea brasiliensis (rubber tree). Lineage: Eukaryota; Viridiplantae; Streptophyta; Magnoliopsida; Malpighiales; Euphorbiaceae. The record is from RNAcentral.
ACAAACAAUAGCACUUGUCCUUCAUAGGUUCCAUUGCUUAGCUCCUGGAAGGACCAGUGCCCCAAACUAGUGCUCUGAUUACAAUCCUAGCAACCACUGACUCACAAAGGUGAAGUUAAUGCUUGCUUGUUCUACCACUGAUCCCUAUAAUCAAUUAGAACUUCUUCCACUCAUAAGGACAUGCCUAGGGCAGAAUUUAUAAAGAUAUUUGUGGGAAAUUAGAGUUUCUUUCAACUCAACUAAACCUUACUUCCAGACUGAAUCAUUAUUGCACUAGAGCAAUCCCACAUCAAACCAUGCAGACCAAGAUACACUCGAGAUAAUCAUCUUAACUAUCAAUGUCCUUAUUAAAUACCUCAAUGAAGUCAUUAGUUUGAGCGCCUAACCUCUUAUAGUCAAGGCAUGCUCUCCUGCAGUUAUGCUACCAAUUUUUUUUUCCAUGCUUCUUCUUUUCUUCCUUCUAUCUCUUCCAUCUUCUUCUUUUCUUUGAUUCCUUAUAAUGGAUGUAUAUACAUGUGAAGUUGUGAACCCUAGACCUAGAGUUUGUAUUGUUAUGAAAUUUGAAAGUGUGUUUACCGUGACAUGAUUUAUAUGUGUUUAAAACUCUAAAUUUCUUUUUAGCAUUAUUAUUUAAAUUUCUCGACCUAUUUUAAACGUUGUAUGAUGUUAAUAUGUUGUGCCUAUUAGGUUUUGUUAAUAACUUAAUAUAUUGUGUUGUGGAUUCAAAAUCUUAAAUUGGUAGAUUUUAAAUGAAUUUUGCUCUUUCUUCUAUGUGUGUGUGUGUGUGUGUG